This is a non-coding RNA of Desarmillaria tabescens, 81 nucleotides long. NCBI's taxonomy places the organism in Eukaryota, Fungi, Basidiomycota, Agaricomycetes, Agaricales, Physalacriaceae. The record is from the annotation of a RefSeq genome assembly.
UGCCCCAUGGCUGAGUUGGUUACAGCGUCCGACUGUUAAGUAAUAAUCGGAAGGUCGAGAGUUCGAGCCUCUCUGGGGCAG